Molecule: ribosomal RNA, 430 nt
Filed under: uncultured bacterium
Lineage: Bacteria
Description: partial 16S ribosomal RNA
Rfam family: Bacterial small subunit ribosomal RNA
Source: RNAcentral
GCGAACGCUGGCGGCAGGCUCAACACAUGCAAGUCGAGCGCCCCGCAAGGGGAGCGGCAGACGGGAGAGUAACACGUGGGAACAUACCUUUUGGUUCGGAACAACUGAGGGAAACUUCAGCUAAUACCGGAUAAGCCCUUACGGGGAAAGAUUUAUCGCCGAAAGAUUGGCCCGCGUCUGAUUAGCUAGUUGGUGAGGUAACGGCUCACCAAGGCGACGAUCAGUAGCUGGUCUGAGAGGAUGAUCAGCCUCACUGGGACUGAGACACGGCCCAGACUCCUACGGGAGGCAGCAGUGGGGAAUAUUGGACAAUGGGGGCAACCCUGAUCCAGCCAUGCCGCGUGAGUGAUGAAGGCCUUAGGGUUGUAAAGCUCUUUUGCCCGGGAAGAUAAUGACGGUACCGGGAGAAUAAGCCCCGGCUAACUUCGUG